AAUUGCGGUCCUCAGCUCUCCAGACUCAUGAAGGCCACCACCUGCUCCAGCUUGAAGGCCAGCCUCUGUUUCCGGGCUGCAUCGUCCUGCUCCAGUGAGCACACAAUCUGCCAGCAGGACAGAGAGAUUGAACCAGAGACCAAGCAGUUGAGAGGCGGGACAGAUGCUAGAGAUCCAGCUGCAGCCACUCGAGGACAGGCCCGGUGUUUGGCUGGAUAACUCUGGGCAUGUG
Long non-coding RNA from Centropristis striata (black sea bass), 232 nucleotides. RefSeq lists it as uncharacterized. The record is from RefSeq and is a predicted model, not a curated record. Lineage: Eukaryota; Metazoa; Chordata; Actinopteri; Perciformes; Serranidae. The transcript has 3 exons.